This 191-nucleotide unclassified non-coding RNA is filed under the name uncultured fungus. RNAcentral's name for it is "sequence contains ITS1". The record is from RNAcentral. Lineage: Eukaryota; Fungi.
UUAAUAAUUUAAUAUUACUCAGACAAUAAUUAAUUCAAGAGUUUAGGGUCCUCUGGCGGGCACUCACCAGCCGAAGCCGGUGGCCGAGGCGGCCCGCCAAAGCAACAAAGGUAAGAUAACAUAGGGUUGGAGAGUCACCCGUGAGGGCGAUGUUCUCUGUAAUGAUCCUUCCGCAGGUUCACCUACGGAAA